RNAcentral lists this ribosomal RNA (1311 nucleotides) under Triticum aestivum (bread wheat). RNAcentral describes it as "partial small subunit ribosomal RNA". The record is from RNAcentral. Lineage: Eukaryota; Viridiplantae; Streptophyta; Magnoliopsida; Poales; Poaceae.
AUGCUGAGGCGGGCCAUGGCGCUGGCGCUGACCCUCGCCGCGGCUGCCAUGUGGGCCCCGCCGCGCACCGGCCACGCGUGCUCCUCCGCCGCCGGCCGCGUGCCGCACGUGACGAGCGCCCACUCGAAGGGACGCCUCGUGGGGGCGGUGGGGCCCGGCUGCCACUCCGCCAGUUCCACUUCCGCUUCCAAGUCCACCACGCGCAGUUCCAGGCGGGACCGCACCGACGCCACCGGAGCCCCAAUGGCCGCCGCCGAUGCCGCCGGAGACCUCAGGUCGGAGUUCCUCGAGGUGCUGCUCAGCCGCCGUCGCGACCGCCAAGUGCCUAUGACCGUGGAGCAAGGGAGCCCGGUGAAGGAGCCGCUGUACCAAGGCAACGGGCCUCUGGGGCUCAGAGAGGCCAUGGAGUCGUGCCCGAGGAAGGAGGUGGAGGACUUCCAGGAGAAGCUGAUUGAAGAAAAUUUCUACCUGAUGACCGAGUCAGGUGAACAGGGACGCCUACCUGUGCUUCUACUGAAACUUAAUGACACUGCUCCUGAAAGAAAGCCCGUUGUUGUAAUACUGCACAGCUCUUACAAAUGCAAGGAAUGGUUGCGUCCACUGCUUGAGGCAUAUGCCUCCAGGGGUUAUAUUGCUGUCGCCAUCGAUUCUCGUUAUCACGGUGAAAGGGCCAGCAGCAAGACUACUUACAUAGAGGCACUGAAUUCAGCUUGGAGGAAUGGGGACACUAUGCCUUUUAUUUUUGACACGGUGUGGGACUUGAUAAAGCUUGGAGAUUAUCUUAGUGCAAGGGAGGAUGUCGAUCCCUCUAGGAUAGGGAUUACUGGUGAAUCGCUUGGAGGAAUGCAUGCAUGGUUUGCUGCCUUUGUGGAUACACGGUACAGUGUUGUUGUUCCAAUAAUUGGUGUUCAGGGAUUUCAAUGGGCAAUAGAUAAUGACAAGUGGCAAGCUAGAGUUGAUAGCAUUAAGCCUUUAUUUGAAGAAGCAAGAAUUGAUUCAGGGAAGAGUGAAAUAGAUGCAGAGGUUGUGAAAAAGGUUUGGGACAAGAUAGCACCUGGUAUGGCUUCACAGUUUGAUGCUCCCUACUCAGUUCCUCUGAUUGCACCACGCCCGCUCCUCCUCCUAAAUGGUGCUGACGACCCUCGUUGCCCAGUCCUUGGUCUACAAGAACCUGCCUCCAAAGCUGCUGAGGCUUACGAAAAAGCUGGUUCUGCGGAUAAGUUCAAGUUCAUCGCGGAGCCGGGUGUUGGGCACAGGAUGACCGCGAGCAUGGUGAAGGAAGCGAGCGACUGGUUCGACCGCUUCCUGUAG